This 30-nucleotide non-coding RNA is filed under the name Mus musculus (house mouse). The record is from RNAcentral. Lineage: Eukaryota; Metazoa; Chordata; Mammalia; Rodentia; Muridae.
UGAGGCCUACUCCAGNGAUGAUACGCUUUC